RNAcentral lists this ribosomal RNA (497 nucleotides) under uncultured bacterium. RNAcentral describes it as "partial 16S ribosomal RNA". It matches the Rfam family "Bacterial small subunit ribosomal RNA", at positions 28 to 507 of the family's 1533-position model. The record is from RNAcentral.
GACGAACGCUGGCGGCGUGCCUAAUACAUGCAAGUCGAACGGACAGACCCUGCGUUUGCUCCUCUCGCGUUACCAACGGGCGGGUGAGUAACACGUGGAUAACCUACCUCUUCGAGUUGGAUCACUUCGGCAAAGCGGAACUCAUACCGGAUACCAUUUUUAAUCUGAUGGUUGGAAAGUUUUAUCCGGUUUUGAUGUGCCCUCGUGCUGUCUCCGCGCCGGAUGAGUUAGUUGGUAAGGUAACGGCUUACCAUGGCGACGAUGCGUAGCCGACCUGAGAGGGUGAUCGGCCACACUGGAACUGAGACACGGUCCAGACUCCUACGGGAGGCAGCAGUAGGGAAUCUUCCGAAAUGGGCGAAAGCUUGACGGAGCAACGCCGCGUGAGUGAUGAAGGUCUUCGGAUCGUAAAACGCUGUUAUUAGGGAAGAACAAAUGUGUAAGUAACUAUGCACGUCUUGACGGUACCUAAUCAGAAAGCCACGGCUAACUACGUG